RNAcentral lists this ribosomal RNA (640 nucleotides) under Streptomyces filamentosus. RNAcentral's name for it is "bacterial SSU rRNA". It matches the Rfam family "Bacterial small subunit ribosomal RNA", at positions 99 to 753 of the family's 1533-position model. The record is from RNAcentral. Lineage: Bacteria; Bacillati; Actinomycetota; Actinomycetes; Kitasatosporales; Streptomycetaceae.
CGAACGGGUGAGUAACACGUGGGCAAUCUGCCCUUCACUCUGGGACAAGCCCUGGAAACGGGGUCUAAUACCGGAUACGAGUUCAGGAGGCAUCUUCUGGACUGGAAAGCUCCGGCGGUGAAGGAUGAGCCCGCGGCCUAUCAGCUUGUUGGUGGGGUAACGGCCCACCAAGGCGACGACGGGUAGCCGGCCUGAGAGGGCGACCGGCCACACUGGGACUGAGACACGGCCCAGACUCCUACGGGAGGCAGCAGUGGGGAAUAUUGCACAAUGGGCGAAAGCCUGAUGCAGCGACGCCGCGUGAGGGAUGACGGCCUUCGGGUUGUAAACCUCUUUCAGCAGGGAAGAAGCGAAAGUGACGGUACCUGCAGAAGAAGCGCCGGCUAACUACGUGCCAGCAGCCGCGGUAAUACGUAGGGCGCAAGCGUUGUCCGGAAUUAUUGGGCGUAAAGAGCUCGUAGGCGGCUUGUCACGUCGGGUGUGAAAGCCCGGGGCUUAACCCCGGGUCUGCAUCCGAUACGGGCAGGCUAGAGUGUGGUAGGGGAGAUCGGAAUUCCUGGUGUAGCGGUGAAAUGCGCAGAUAUCAGGAGGAACACCGGUGGCGAAGGCGGAUCUCUGGGCCAUUACUGACGCUGAGGAG